This 253-nucleotide ribosomal RNA is filed under the name uncultured bacterium. RNAcentral's name for it is "partial 16S ribosomal RNA". It matches the Rfam family "Bacterial small subunit ribosomal RNA", at positions 524 to 776 of the family's 1533-position model. The record is from RNAcentral.
UACGGAGGGGGCUAACGUUGUUCGGAAUUACUGGGCGUAAAGCGAGUGUAGGCGGUGUGGUAAGUCGGAUGUGAAAGCCCCGGGCUCAACCCGGGAAGUGCACUCGAUACUGCCACGCUAGAGUAUCGGAGAGGUUGGUGGAAUUCUCGGUGUAGAGGUGAAAUUCGUAGAUAUCGAGAGGAACACCGGUGGCGAAGGCGGCCAACUGGACGAAUACUGACGCUGAGACUCGAAAGCGUGGGGAGCAAACAGG